RNAcentral lists this ribosomal RNA (1140 nucleotides) under Escherichia coli. Its description in RNAcentral is "partial 23S ribosomal RNA". It matches the Rfam family "Bacterial large subunit ribosomal RNA", at positions 604 to 1746 of the family's 2925-position model. Lineage: Bacteria; Pseudomonadati; Pseudomonadota; Gammaproteobacteria; Enterobacterales; Enterobacteriaceae. The record is from RNAcentral.
CCUUUUGUAUAAUGGGUCAGCGACUUAUAUUCUGUAGCAAGGUUAACCGAAUAGGGGAGCCGAAGGGAAACCGAGUCUUAACUGGGCGUUAAGUUGCAGGGUAUAGACCCGAAACCCGGUGAUCUAGCCAUGGGCAGGUUGAAGGUUGGGUAACACUAACUGGAGGACCGAACCGACUAAUGUUGAAAAAUUAGCGGAUGACUUGUGGCUGGGGGUGAAAGGCCAAUCAAACCGGGAGAUAGCUGGUUCUCCCCGAAAGCUAUUUAGGUAGCGCCUCGUGAACUCAUCUCCGGGGGUAGAGCACUGUUUCGGCAAGGGGGUCAUCCCGACUUACCAACCCGAUGCAAACUGCGAAUACCGGAGAAUGUUAUCACGGGAGACACACGGCGGGUGCUAACGUCCGUCGUGAAGAGGGAAACAACCCAGACCGCCAGCUAAGGUCCCAAAGUCAUGGUUAAGUGGGAAACGAUGUGGGAAGGCCCAGACAGCCAGGAUGUUGGCUUAGAAGCAGCCAUCAUUUAAAGAAAGCGUAAUAGCUCACUGGUCGAGUCGGCCUGCGCGGAAGAUGUAACGGGGCUAAACCAUGCACCGAAGCUGCGGCAGCGACGCUGAUGCGUUGUUGGGUAGGGGAGCGUUCUGUAAGCCUGCGAAGGUGUGCUGUGAGGCAUGCUGGAGGUAUCAGAAGUGCGAAUGCUGACAUAAGUAACGAUAAAGCGGGUGAAAAGCCCGCUCGCCGGAAGACCAAGGGUUCCUGUCCAACGUUAAUCGGGGCAGGGUGAGUCGACCCCUAAGGCGAGGCCGAAAGGCGUAGUCGAUGGGAAACAGGUUAAUAUUCCUGUACUUGGUGUUACUGCGAAGGGGGGACGGAGAAGGCUAUGUUGGCCGGGCGACGGUUGUCCCGGUUUAAGCGUGUAGGCUGGUUUUCCAGGCAAAUCCGGAAAAUCAAGGCUGAGGCGUGAUGACGAGGCACUACGGUGCUGAAGCAACAAAUGCCCUGCUUCCAGGAAAAGCCUCUAAGCAUCAGGUAACAUCAAAUCGUACCCCAAACCGACACAGGUGGUCAGGUAGAGAAUACCAAGGCGCUUGAGAGAACUCGGGUGAAGGAACUAGGCAAAAUGGUGCCGUAACUUCGGGAGAAGG